Molecule: small nuclear RNA, 107 nt
Organism: Suricata suricatta (meerkat)
Lineage: Eukaryota; Metazoa; Chordata; Mammalia; Carnivora; Herpestidae
Source: Ensembl
AUGCUAGCUUUGGCAACACGCAUACUAAAAUUGGAACAAUACACAGAAAAUUGGCAUGGGCCCUGUGGAAGGGUAACACACAAAUUCAUGAAGCAUUCCAUACUUUU